RNAcentral lists this ribosomal RNA (1357 nucleotides) under uncultured bacterium. RNAcentral's name for it is "bacterial SSU rRNA". It matches the Rfam family "Bacterial small subunit ribosomal RNA". The record is from RNAcentral.
AGAGUUUGAUCCUGGCUCAGGACGAACGCUGGCGGCGCGCCUAACACAUGCAAGUCGAACGGAGCUGAGAGGAGCUUGCUUUUUUCAGCUUAGUGGCGAACGGGUGAGUAACGCGUGAGUAACCUGCCCUGGAGUGGGGGACAACAGUUGGAAACGACUGCUAAUACCGCAUAAGCCCACGGAUUCGCAUGGAUCUGCGGGAAAAGGAUUUAUUCGCUCUAGGAUGGACUCGCGUCCAAUUAGCUAGUUGGUGAGGUAACGGCCCACCAAGGCGACGAUUGGUAGCCGGACUGAGAGGUUGAACGGCCACAUUGGGACUGAGACACGGCCCAGACUCCUACGGGAGGCAGCAGUGGGGGAUAUUGCACAAUGGGGGAAACCCUGAUGCAGCGACGCCGCGUGGAGGAAGAAGGUUUUCGGAUUGUAAACUCCUGUCGUUAGGGACGAUAAUGACGGUACCUAACAAGAAAGCACCGGCUAACUACGUACCAGCAGCCGCGGUAAAACGUAGGGUGCAAGCGUUGUCCGGAAUUACUGGGUGUAAAGGGAGCGCAGGCGGACCGGCAAGUUGGAAGUGAAAACUGUGGGCUCAACCCAUAAAUUGCUUUCAAAACUGCUGGCCUUGAGUAGUGCAGAGGUAGGUGGAAUUCCCGGUGUAGCGGUGGAAUGCGUAGAUAUCGGGAGGAACACCAGUGGCGAAGGCGACCUACUGGGCACCAACUGACGCUGAGGCUCGAAAGCAUGGGUAGCAAACAGGAUUAGAUACCCUGGUAGUCCAUGCCGUAAACGAUGAUUACUAGGUGUUGGAGGAUUGACCCCUUCAGUGCCGCAGUAACACAAUAAGUAAUCCACCUGGGGAGUACGACCGCAAGGUUGAACUCAAAGGAAUUGACGGGGGCCCCACAAGCAGUGGAAUAUUGUGGUUUAAUUCGAAGCAACGCGAAGAACCUUACCAGGUCUUGAAUCCGAUGCUAAUGGAAAGAUGCUUGAAUCCUUCCGGAAUCCAACAAGGGGGGCCAGGGUUGCGCCACCCCUGGCCGGGAAAGUUUGGGUUAAUCCCCCACCAAGCGGACCCUUAUUGCGUUUCUACCCAAAAGGACUUGGGGAAAUGCCUUGAAAAAAGGAAAAGAGUGGGGAUGACGUCAAAUCAUCAUGCCCUUUAUGACCUGGGCUACACACGUACUACAAUGGCGUUUAACAAAGAGAAGCAAGACCGCGAGGUGGAGCAAAACUCAAAAACAACGUCUCAGUUCAGAUUGCAGGCUGCAACUCGCCUGCAUGAAGUCGGAAUUGCUAGUAAUCGCGGAUCAGCAUGCCGCGGUGAAUACGUUCCCGGGCCUUGUACACACCGCCCGUC